CCUACGGGUGGCAGCAGUCGAGAAUCAUUCACAAUGGGGGAAACCCUGAUGGUGCGACGCCGCGUGGGGGAAUGAAGGUCUUCGGAUUGUAAACCCCUGUCAUGUGGGAGCAAAUUAAAAAGAUAGUACCACAAGAGGAAGAGACGGCUAACUCUGUGCCAGCAGCCGCGGUAAUACAGAGGGCUCAAGCGUUGUUCGGAAUCACUGGGCGUAAAGCGUGCGUAGGCUGUAUCGUAAGUCGUGUGUGAAAGGUGCGGGCUCAACCCGCGGACGGCACAUGAUACUGCGAGACUAGAGUAAUGGAGGGGGAACCGGAAUUCUCGGUGUAGCAGUGAAAUGCGUAGAUAUCGAGAGGAACACUCGUGGCGAAGGCGGGUUCCUGGACAUUAACUGACGCUGAGGCACGAAGGCCAGGGGAGCGAAAGGGAUUAGAUACCCCAGUAGUC
This 446-nucleotide ribosomal RNA is filed under the name uncultured bacterium. RNAcentral's name for it is "partial 16S ribosomal RNA". It matches the Rfam family "Bacterial small subunit ribosomal RNA", at positions 338 to 795 of the family's 1533-position model. The record is from RNAcentral.